UAUUUAGAUUGAAGAUAUAUUUGGACCUGAAAACGGAUAUGCUACGAAAACUACAGAAAUACCAAUCCCUGAUCAGAUGAGUUUCUGUUUGCGGAGCUUUGCUGAGUUUGAUAGAUAUAGCGAUCAAAUCCCUAUCAUAGAGUUCUAUCGAUUGAAUGACACUCAGGAUCUGUGGAUAUCUCUCAUGUAUCGUUCUGAUGGUGUGUCUGGUGGACGAAUCUUUAUUAACGCAUAUUACACAGGCCGUUUAAAGGCAAAAUUU
Long non-coding RNA from Eurytemora carolleeae, 262 nucleotides. RefSeq lists it as uncharacterized. NCBI's taxonomy places the organism in Eukaryota, Metazoa, Arthropoda, Copepoda, Calanoida, Temoridae. The transcript is spliced from 3 exons. The record is from RefSeq and is a predicted model, not a curated record.